UACGUAGGGGGCAAGCGUUGUCCGGAAUGACUGGGCGUAAAGGGAGCGUAGACGGCAUGGCAAGUCUGAUGUGAAAACCCGGGGCUCAACCCCGGGACUGCAUUUGGAACUGUUAAGCUGGAGUGUCGGAGAGGCAGGCGGAAUUCCUAGUGUAGCGGUGAAAUGCGUAGAUAUUAGGAGGAACACCAGUGGCGAAGGCGGCCUGCUGGACGAUGACUGACGUUGAGGCUCGAAAGCGUGGGGAGCAAACAGG
RNAcentral lists this ribosomal RNA (253 nucleotides) under uncultured Blautia sp. RNAcentral describes it as "partial 16S ribosomal RNA". It matches the Rfam family "Bacterial small subunit ribosomal RNA", at positions 524 to 776 of the family's 1533-position model. Lineage: Bacteria; Bacillati; Bacillota; Clostridia; Lachnospirales; Lachnospiraceae. The record is from RNAcentral.